Molecule: ribosomal RNA, 744 nt
Filed under: uncultured Bacteroidota bacterium
Lineage: Bacteria; Pseudomonadati; Bacteroidota
Description: bacterial SSU rRNA
Rfam family: Bacterial small subunit ribosomal RNA
Source: RNAcentral
ACGGUACUUUUGGUGCUUGCACCGAAAGUACGAGUGGCGAACGGGUGCGUAACGCGUAUGCAAUCUGCCUUUUACUAGGGUAUAGCCCAGAGAAAUUGGAUUAAUCCCCUAUAAUAUCGUUUAAUCGCAUGAUUUUAUGAUUAAAGCUUCGGCGGUAAAAGAAGAGCAUGCGUCCUAUUAGUUAGUAGGUGAGGUAACGGCUCACCUAGACUCCGAUAGGUAGGGGUCCUGAAAGGGAGAUCCCCCACACUGGUACUGAGACACGGACCAGACUCCUACGGGAGGCAGCAGUGAGGAAUAUUGUGCAAUGAACGAAAGUUUGACACAGCGACACCGCGUGUGGGAUGACGGAUCUACGUUUGUAAACCACUUUCAGGAGGGAAGAAAAUGACGGUACCUCCACAAGAAGCCCCGGCCAACUACGUGCCAGCAGCCGCGGUAAUACGUAGGAUCCAAGCGUUAUCCGGAAUUAUUGGGUUUAAAGGGUCCGCAGGCUGUUUGUUAAGUCAGAGGUGAAAUCCUACCGAUCAACGGGUAGAACUGCCUUUGAUACUGGCAAACUUGAGUUAUGGUGAAGUAGUUAGAAUGUGUAGUGUAGCGGUGAAAUGCAUAGAUAUUACACAGAAAUACCGAUUGCAAGAGCAGAUUCCUAACAAUAUACUGACGCUGAGGGCGACCGCGUGGUUGCGACAGGAUAGAUACCUGGUAUCCAGCGGAACGAUGGUCAUAGUGUCGACGUCAUGG